GACGAACGCUGGCGGCGUGCUUAACACAUGCAAGUCGAACGGAAAGGCCCCUUUGGGGGUACUCGAGUGGCGAACGGGUGCGUAACACGUGAGUAACCUGCCCUUGACUUCGGGAUAACUUCAGGAAACUGGGGCUAAUACCGGAUAGGAAUCCUUGCUGCAUGGUGGGGGUUGGAAAGCUUCGGCGGUUUUGGAUGGACUCGCGGCUUAUCAGCUUGUUGGUGGGGUAGUGGCUUACCAAGGCUUUGACGGGUAGCCGGCCUGAGAGGGCGACCGGCCACCUUGGGACUGAGAGACGGCCCAGACUGCUACGGGAGGCAGCAGUGGGGAAUAUUGCACAAUGGGCGGAAGCCUGAUGCAGCAAGGCCGCGUGCGGGAUGACGGCCUUCGGGUUGUAAACCGAUUUCAGCAGGGGCGAAGCUUGUGGUGACGGUACCUGCAGAAGAAGCACCGGCUAACUACGUG
Molecule: ribosomal RNA, 465 nt
Filed under: uncultured bacterium
Lineage: Bacteria
Description: partial 16S ribosomal RNA
Rfam family: Bacterial small subunit ribosomal RNA
Source: RNAcentral